Molecule: ribosomal RNA, 455 nt
Filed under: uncultured bacterium
Lineage: Bacteria
Description: bacterial SSU rRNA
Rfam family: Bacterial small subunit ribosomal RNA
Source: RNAcentral
GAUGAACGCUGGCGGCGUGCUUAACACAUGCAAGUCGAACGUGAGAAUAGCAAUAUUUGAAAGUGGCAAACGGGUGAGUAACACGUGGGAACCUGCCCUGGAGUGGGGGAUAACGACUGGAAACGGUCGCUAAUACCGCACAGUUCUACUCUAUCGGGAGUUGAGUAGAUAAAGAUUUAUCGCUCUGGGAGGGGCCCGCGGCCGAUUAGCUAGUUGGUGAGGUAAUGGCUCACCAAGGCAAUUAUCGGUAGCUGGUCUGAGAGGACGAUCAGCCACAUGGGAACUGAGACACAGUCCCAACUCCUACGGGGGGCAGCAGUGAGGAAUAUUGGGCAAUGGGCGAAAGCCUGACCCAGCAACGCCGCGUGGAGGAUGAAGGCUUUAGGGUCGUAAACUCCUUUUGUGGGGGAAAAGUAAGGAUGGUACCCCAAGAAUAAGUCACGGCUAACUACGUG